GCUCAACCGGGGAGGGUCAUUGGAAACUGGGGAACUUGAGUGCAGAAGAGGAGAGUGGAAUUCCACGUGUAGCGGUGAAAUGCGUAGAGAUGUGGAGGAACACCAGUGGCGAAGGCGACUCUCUGGUCUGUAACUGACGCUGAGGCGCGAAAGCGUGGGGAGCGAACAGGAUUAGAUACCCUGGUAGUCCACGCCGUAAACGAUGAGUGCUAAGUGUUAGAGGGUUUCCGCCCUUUAGUGCUGCAGCAAACGCAUUAAGCACUCCGCCUGGGGAGUACGGUCGCAAGACUGAAACUCAAAGGAAUUGACGGGGGCCCGCACAAGCGGUGGAGCAUGUGGUUUAAUUCGAAGCAACGCGAAGAACCUUACCAGGUCUUGACAUCCUCUGACAACCCUAGAGGUAGGGCUUCCCCUUCGGGGGCAGAGUGACAGGUGGUGCAUGGUCGUCGUCAGCUCGUGUCGUGAGAUGUUGGGUUAAGUCCCGCAACGAGCGCAACCCUUGAUCUUAGUUGCCAGCAUUCAGUUGGGCACUCUAAGGUGACUGCCGGUGACAAACCGGAGGAAGGUGGGGAUGACGUCAAAUCAUCAUGCCCCUUAUGACCUGGGCUACACACGUGCUACAAUGGGCAGAACAAAG
Molecule: ribosomal RNA, 637 nt
Filed under: uncultured bacterium
Lineage: Bacteria
Description: bacterial SSU rRNA
Rfam family: Bacterial small subunit ribosomal RNA
Source: RNAcentral